Molecule: non-coding RNA, 252 nt
Filed under: Clostridium sp.
Lineage: Bacteria; Bacillati; Bacillota; Clostridia; Eubacteriales; Clostridiaceae
Description: T-box sequence
Rfam family: T-box leader
About the family: Uncharged tRNA acts as the effector for transcription antitermination of genes in the T-box leader family.
Source: RNAcentral
UCUAAUUCAUUGAUAAGGAAGAGUAACUAAAUGGAAUAUUUAAAGAGAGUUAAGGAUGGUGGAAUCUUAACAAUAGGAAUUUUAGCGAAUGGACCUUGGAGAAAUAAAGCGAAAUCUUUUAUAGAAAGUAGUAUUUAUCGGAAGCCUACCGUUAAAAAGGAUAGGGUAUGUUAGUACCUGAAUAAAGAUAUGUUUAAAUUAUAAUUUAAACAUAAGUUAGGUGGCACCGCGAAUAUAAUCUUCGUCCUAAUA